Molecule: long non-coding RNA, 545 nt
Organism: Aedes aegypti (yellow fever mosquito)
Lineage: Eukaryota; Metazoa; Arthropoda; Insecta; Diptera; Culicidae
Exons: 3
Source: RefSeq, a predicted model, not a curated record
UUUGCACAGAUUGGAAACCGAUAAAGUUCGAAAAUAAAAUUAAAAUAAACAGAAAUCUACUGAGCGUUCGCGAGUUUGUGCUGUUUCCACGGCCUAGAGGAAUUGCCAAGCGGGAUUGUUGCCUACUUCCAAUGCCGCACUGUUUGAAGGCCAUACGGAACCGAAACCAAGUCUGAGACCAUGAGCGGAAGCUGAAUGGAAAGCGUCGUCAAAUCAUCGUCCCACUGCUCUCAGUUUCUGGAAAAUCAGACCAAUUUCGAAUCGGAGGAUCAUCGAAACAGCUAUUCGUCUUCCGCUGAUCUCCUAUUCACAGGAAAAUAUCAAGUACCCCAGUCAAGGAAGAUGUCAACCCUUCUAGAAGUUAUCUGGUGGAAGCGGAAGUGGAUGCUACGAGUUCUUCCCAUGCAUGAAAUCAACUCGGAUGCGUUAGAUAAUCCGGAUGGCUGGGUUUUGGACCAAACAACUAAACCUUGUGCGUAGCGUAUUUCGGAAAAAUGCUGUGACUAUGGAUCGCUCCUGUUACCUGAAUAAUUCCUGAUUUAUUA